This 377-nucleotide ribosomal RNA is filed under the name uncultured bacterium. Its description in RNAcentral is "bacterial SSU rRNA". It matches the Rfam family "Bacterial small subunit ribosomal RNA", at positions 521 to 896 of the family's 1533-position model. The record is from RNAcentral.
UAAGACGUAGGAUGCAAGCGUUGUCCGGAAUUAUUGGGCGUAAAGAGUUCGUAGGCGGUUACUUAAGUCUGGUGUUAAAGACGGGAGCUCAACUCCCGCAUGGCAUUGGAAACUGGGUGGCUAGAGUGCGGUAGAGGUCUCGGGAAUUCCAGGUGUAGCGGUGAAAUGCGUAGAUAUCUGGAGGAACACCGGUGGCGAAAGCGCGAGACUGGGCCGUAACUGACGCUGAGGAACGAAAGCCAGGGGAGCGAAAGGGAUUAGAUACCCCUGUAGUCCUGGCCGUAAACGAUGGAUACUAGGUGUAGGAGGAUUCGACCCCUUCUGUGCCGUAGCUAACGCGAUAAGUAUCCCGCCUGGGGAGUACGACCGCAAGGUUG